This 690-nucleotide ribosomal RNA is filed under the name uncultured soil bacterium. Its description in RNAcentral is "bacterial SSU rRNA". It matches the Rfam family "Bacterial small subunit ribosomal RNA", at positions 60 to 729 of the family's 1533-position model. The record is from RNAcentral.
AGUCGAACGCGAAAGUCCCGCAAGGGAUGAGUAGAGUGGCAAACGGGUGAGUAACGCGUGGGUGACCUGCCUUCGAGUGGGGGAUAACGUUUCGAAAGGAACGCUAAUACCGCAUGACAUCCUGCCUUUUAACAGGCGGAGAUCAAAGCCGGGGAUCGCAAGACCUGGCGCUUGAAGAGGGGCCCGCGUCCGAUUAGCUAGUUGGUGGGGUAACGGCUCACCAAGGCAACGAUCGGUAGCCGGCCUGAGAGGGCGGACGGCCACACUGGGACUGAGACACGGCCCAGACUCCUACGGGAGGCAGCAGUAGGGAAUUGUUCGCAAUGGGCGCAAGCCUGACGACGCAACGCCGCGUGGAGGAUGAAGACCUUCGGGUCGUAAACUCCUUUCGAUCGAGACGAAUGGCCUCCGGGUGAACAAUCCAGAGGAAUGACGGUACCGAGAGAAGAAGCCCCGGCUAACUCCGUGCCAGCAGCCGCGGUAAUACGGGGGGGGCAAGCGUUGUUCGGAAUUACUGGGCGUAAAGGGCUCGUAGGCGGCCAACUAAGUCAGACGUGAAAUCCCUCGGCUUAACCGGGGAACUGCGUCUGAUACUGGAUGGCUUGAGAUUGGGAGAGGGAUGCGGAAUUCCAGGUGUAGCGGUGAAAUGCGUAGAUAUCUGGAGGAACACCGGUGGCGAAGGCGGCAUCC